This 954-nucleotide ribosomal RNA is filed under the name Anisakis pegreffii. RNAcentral describes it as "eukaryotic LSU rRNA". The stretch from base 420 to 573 matches the Rfam family "5.8S ribosomal RNA". The record is from RNAcentral. Lineage: Eukaryota; Metazoa; Nematoda; Chromadorea; Rhabditida; Anisakidae.
GUAGGUGAACCUGCGGAAGGAUCACUAUCGAGCGAAUCCAAAACGAACGAAAAAGUCUCCCAACGUGCAUACCUUCCAUUUGCAUGUUGUUGUGAGCCACAUGGAAACUCGUACACACGUGGUGGCAGCCGUCUGCUGUGCUUUUUUUAGGCAGACAAUGGCUUACGAGUGGCCGUGUGCUUGUUGAACAACGGUGACCAAUUUGGCGUCUACGCCGUAUCUAGCCUCUGCCUGGACCGUCAGUUGCGAUGAAAGAUGCGGAGAAAGUUCCUUUGUUUUGGCUGCUAAUCAUCAUUGAUGAGCAGCAGCUUAAGGCAGAGUCGAGCAGACUUAAUGAGCCACGCUAGGUGGCCGCCAAAACCCAAAACACAACCGGUCUAUUUGACAUUGUUAUUUCAUUGUAUGUGUUGAAAAUGUACAAAUCUUGGCGGUGGAUCACUCGGUUCGUGGAUCGAUGAAGAACGCAGCCAGCUGCGAUAAAUAGUGCGAAUUGCAGACACAUUGAGCACUAAGAAUUCGAACGCACAUUGCGCUAUCGGGUUCAUUCCCGAUGGCACGUCUGGCUGAGGGUCGAAUUACGGUGAACUGUCUUCACGGUUUUUCUGGACUGUGAAGCAUUCGGCAAGCAAUUGCUGUUGUGUUGUUGGUGAUUCUAUCAUGGACAAUAUGACGAGCGGUUCCUUGCUUAGUGAUGACAAAAGAAGACGUCAACACCGAAUCUACUAUACUACUAAUACUAGUAUAUAGGUGAGGUGCUUUUGGUGGUCACAAAAGUGACAAGUAUGCCAUUUCAUAGGGGCAACAACCAGCAUACGUGAUAAGUUGGCUGGUUGAUGAAACGGCAACGGAAUGACGGACGUCUAUGUGAUCAAAAAUGAUACUAUUUGACCUCAGCUCAGUCGUGAUUACCCGCUGAAUUUAAGCAUAUAAUUAAGCGGAGGAAAAGAAACUAAC